ACACGGAGGGCGCAAGCGUUGCUCGGAAUCACUGGGCGUAAAGCGGGUGUAGGCGGUCUAGCAAGUCAGAUGUGAAAGCCCACGGCUCAACCGUGGAAGUGCAUCUGAAACUGCUAGACUUGAGUGCCGGAGAGGGAAGUGGAAUUCCUGGAGUAGGGGUGAAAUCCGUAGAUAUCAGGAGGAACACCGGUGGCGAAGGCGACUUCCUGGACGGCCACUGACGCUGAGACCCGAAAGCGUGGGGAGCAAACAGGAUUAGAUACCCUAGUAGUCC
RNAcentral lists this ribosomal RNA (274 nucleotides) under uncultured bacterium. RNAcentral's name for it is "partial 16S ribosomal RNA". It matches the Rfam family "Bacterial small subunit ribosomal RNA", at positions 523 to 796 of the family's 1533-position model. The record is from RNAcentral.